AAACCAUGAUGGGGACAUUUGUUUGUGUAGCUCCUAAAUAUCUCCCAUGCUUCCCCAAUGUUUUCAUUGUUGUGUUGGAUAAAGCUUGAGAUUUGGUUCCUCAACUU
Molecule: small nucleolar RNA, 107 nt
Organism: Eutrema salsugineum
Lineage: Eukaryota; Viridiplantae; Streptophyta; Magnoliopsida; Brassicales; Brassicaceae
Rfam family: Plant small nucleolar RNA R71
About the family: R71 is a member of the C/D box family of snoRNAs containing the C (UGAUGA) and D (CUGA) box motifs. Multiple nearly identical copies of this snoRNA have been identified in Arabidopsis, and it is thought to function as a 2'-O-ribose methylation guide for 18S ribosomal RNA.
Source: Rfam